UGGGGAAUAUUGGACAAUGGGCGAAAGCCUGAUCCAGCCAUGCCGCGUGUGUGAAGAAGGCCUUUUGGUUGUAAAGCACUUUAAGUGGGGAGGAAAAGCUUAUGGUUAAUACCCAUAAGCCCUGACGUUACCCACAGAAUAAGCACCGGCUAACUCUGUGCCAGCAGCCGCGGUAAUACAGAGGGUGCAAGCGUUAAUCGGAAUUACUGGGCGUAAAGCGCGCGUAGGUGGUUAUUUAAGUCAGAUGUGAAAGCCCCGGGCUUAACCUGGGAACUGCAUCUGAUACUGGAUAACUAGAGUAGGUGAGAGGGGAGUAGAAUUCCAGGUGUAGCGGUGAAAUGCGUAGAGAUCUGGAGGAAUACCGAUGGCGAAGGCAGCUCCCUGGCAUCAUACUGACACUGAGGUGCGAAAGCGUGGGUAGCAAACAGGAUUAGAUACCCUGGUAGUCCACGCCGUAANCGAUGUCUACCAGUCGUUGGGUCUUUUAAAGACUUAGUGACGCAGUUAACGCAAUAAGUAGACCGCCUGGGGAGUACGGCCGCAAGGUUA
RNAcentral lists this ribosomal RNA (549 nucleotides) under uncultured bacterium. RNAcentral describes it as "bacterial SSU rRNA". It matches the Rfam family "Bacterial small subunit ribosomal RNA", at positions 355 to 896 of the family's 1533-position model. The record is from RNAcentral.